GACAGAGGGUGCAAACGUUGCUCGGAAUUACUGGGCGUAAAGCGCGUGUAGGCGGUUCCGCAAGUCAGGUGUGAAAGCCCAGGGCUCAACCCUGGAAGUGCACUUGAUACUACGGAGCUUGAGUACUGAAGAGGAGAGCGGAAUUCCCGGUGUAGAGGUGAAAUGCGCAGAUAUCAGGAGGAACACCGGUGGCGAAGGCGGGUCUCUGGGCCGAUACUGACGCUGAGGAGCGAAAGCGUGGGGAGCGAACAGG
Molecule: ribosomal RNA, 253 nt
Filed under: uncultured bacterium
Lineage: Bacteria
Description: partial 16S ribosomal RNA
Rfam family: Bacterial small subunit ribosomal RNA
Source: RNAcentral